This 418-nucleotide ribosomal RNA is filed under the name uncultured bacterium. RNAcentral's name for it is "bacterial SSU rRNA". It matches the Rfam family "Bacterial small subunit ribosomal RNA", at positions 29 to 490 of the family's 1533-position model. The record is from RNAcentral.
AACGAACGCUGGCGGCAGGCCUAACACAUGCAAGUCGAGCGCCCCAGCGAUGGGGAGCGGCGGACGGGUGAGUAACGCGUGGGAACGUACCCUUUGCUACGGAAUAGCCUCGGGAAACUGGGAGUAAUACCGUAUGCGCCCUUCGGGGGAAAGAUUUAUCGGCAAAGGAUCGGCCCGCGUUGGAUUAGGUAGUUGGUGGGGUAAUGGCCUACCAAGCCGACGAUCCAUAGCUGGUUUGAGAGGAUGAUCAGCCACACUGGGACUGAGACACGGCCCAGACUCCUACGGGAGGCAGCAGUGGGGAAUCUUAGACAAUGGGCGCAAGCCUGAUCUAGCCAUGCCGCGUGAGCGAGUGAAGGCCCUUAGGGUUGUAAAGCUCUUUCAGGGGAGAAGAUAAUGACUGUACCCCCAGAAGAAG